This 76-nucleotide transfer RNA is filed under the name Candidatus Kaiserbacteria bacterium RIFCSPHIGHO2_02_FULL_50_50. Its description in RNAcentral is "tRNA-Ile". It matches the Rfam family "tRNA". From Rfam's summary of the family: Transfer RNA (tRNA) molecules are approximately 80 nucleotides in length. Their secondary structure includes four short double-helical elements and three loops (D, anti-codon, and T loops). RNAcentral also lists the same sequence under 1 other name. The record is from RNAcentral. Lineage: Bacteria; Candidatus Kaiseribacteriota.
CCGCCUAUAGCUCAGUUGGUAGAGCGCAGAGCUUAUACCUCUGUGGUCCUAGGUUCGAGUCCUAGUGGGCGGACAA